UGAAUACGAAACACUAAGGUGUUGAAGUAGUGUAUGUCAUACUUCCAAGAAAAGCUCGUAAUGUAGUUAAGUAAAAAUGCCUGUACCAUAACCGACACAGGUGGGUGGGUAGAGUAUGCUAAGGGGCGCGAGAUAACUCUCUCUAAGGAACUCGGCAAAAUGACUCCGUAACUUCGGGAGAAGGAGUGCCUUAUUCUAUAAGGUUGCAAUAACAAGAUCCAAGCAACUGUUUAUCAAAAACACAGGUCUCCGCUAAGUCGUAAGACGAUGUAUGGGGGCUGACGCCUGCCCAGUGCCAGAAGGUUAAAGAAGUCGGUUAGCAAUAGCGAAGCUGGUAACUGAAGCCCUGGUGAACGGCUGCCGUAACUAUAACGGUCCUAAGGUAGCGAAAUUCCUUGUCGGGUAAGUUCCGACCCGCACGAAAGGCGUAACGAUUUGGAUACUGUCUCGGAGAGGGACUCGGUGAAAUAGACUUGUCUGUGAAGAUGCGGACUACCUGCACCAGGACAGAAAGACCCUAUGAAGCUUUACUGUAACUUGAAAUUGAAAUUGGACUUUAUUCGCGCAGUAUAGGUGGGAGGCGUUGAUUAUAAUCUUGUGGGAUUAUUGGAGCCAUCAGUGAGAUACCACUCUUGUAAUGUUAGAUUUCUAACUUUGAAUCAUGAUCUGGUCAAAGAACAGUUUCAGGCGGGCAGUUUGACUGGGGCGGUCGCCUCCUAAACGGUAACGGAGGCGUACAAAGGUUUCCUCUGAACGGGUAGAAAUCGUAUCUAGAGUGUAAAGGCAUAAGGAAGCUUGACUGUGAGACCUACAAGUCGAGCAGGGACGAAAGUCGGUCUUAGUGAUCUGACGGUACUGAGUGGAAAGGCCGUCACUCAACGGAUAAAAGUUACUCUAGGAUAACAGGCUGAUCUCCCCCAAGAGUUCACAUCGACGGGGAGGUUUGGCACCUCGAUGUCGGCUCAUCGCAUCCUGGGGCGGUAGUACGUCCCAAGGGUUGGGCUGUUCACCCAUGAAAGCGGUACGCGAGCUGGGUUCAGAACGUCGUGAGACAGUUCGGUCCAUAUCCGGUGUAGGCGUUAGAAUAUUGAGAGGAGCCUUCUUUAGUACGAGAGGACCGAGAAGGACAUACCUCUGGUGUACCAGUUAUCGUGCCAACGGUAAACGCUGGGUAGCUAUGUAUGGAGUGGAUAACCGCUGAAAGCAUCUAAGUGGGAAGCCCACCUCAAGAUAAGUAUUCUCAUC
This 1245-nucleotide ribosomal RNA is filed under the name metagenome. RNAcentral's name for it is "bacterial LSU rRNA". It matches the Rfam family "Bacterial large subunit ribosomal RNA", at positions 1564 to 2818 of the family's 2925-position model. The record is from RNAcentral.